GUCGAGCGAGAAGGUGUAGCAAUACACUUGUAAAGCGGCGAACGGGUGAGGAAUGCAUGGGUAACCUACCCUCGAGUGGGGAAUAACUAGCCGAAAGGUUAGCUAAUACCGCAUACGUUUCCGGGACCUCGGUUCCGGAAAGAAAGCAAUACCGUGGGUAUUGCGCUCAUGGAUGGGCUCAUGUCCUAUCAGCUUGUUGGUGAGGUAACGGCUCACCAAGGCUUCGACGGGUAGCUGGUCUGAGAGGACGAUCAGCCACACUGGCACUGCGACACGGGCCAGACUCCUACGGGAGGCAGCAGUAAGGAAUAUUGCGCAAUGGACGAAAGUCUGACGCAGCGACGCCGCGUGGGGGAUGAAGGUCUUCGGAUUGUAAACCCCUUUCGGGAGGGAAGAUGGAGUGGGUAACCACUUGGACGGUACCUCCAGAAGCAGCCACGGCUAACUUCGUGCCAGCAGC
RNAcentral lists this ribosomal RNA (460 nucleotides) under uncultured bacterium. RNAcentral's name for it is "bacterial SSU rRNA". It matches the Rfam family "Bacterial small subunit ribosomal RNA", at positions 61 to 515 of the family's 1533-position model. The record is from RNAcentral.